AUUUGAAUAUCAUAUUAAACUGAAGUAGCUCACUAACUCAUUCGUCCAUUCCAUUUCUACAUAAAUAGCAGGAAAGUUGAGGGACUAUGUUCGAUUUUAAAGUAUAAAGGAAGUGUCCACAAAGAAGAAUAUAUUUAUAGUGAUUCAGCAUUCUACCAAAACUGAACCUUAAUCCUUUCCACCAAACUCUUUUCCUCAGCUUAAUAUGUUUCCCACCAACAAAUGACACAUGCAAUAAUUCCAUCAUUCAGCACC
This 255-nucleotide long non-coding RNA is filed under the name Elaeis guineensis (African oil palm). RNAcentral's name for it is "long non-coding RNA (EGUI_LNC019359)". Lineage: Eukaryota; Viridiplantae; Streptophyta; Magnoliopsida; Arecales; Arecaceae. The record is from RNAcentral.